Molecule: ribosomal RNA, 253 nt
Filed under: uncultured bacterium
Lineage: Bacteria
Description: partial 16S ribosomal RNA
Rfam family: Bacterial small subunit ribosomal RNA
Source: RNAcentral
GACAGAGGGUGCAAACGUUGUUCGGAAUUACUGGGCGUAAAGGGCGCGUAGGCGGCCUUCUAAGUCGGACGUGAAAUCCCCGGGCUCAACCCGGGAACUGCGUCCGAUACUGGAAGGCUUGAAUCCGGGAGAGGGAUGCGGAAUUCCAGGUGUAGCAGUGAAAUGCGUAGAUAUCGAGAGGAACACCAGAGGCGAAGGCGAAUCACUGGACAGAAUCUGACGCUGAGGCACGAAAGCUAGGGGAGCAAACGGG